GUGAGUCAUCGAAUCUUUGAACGCACAUUGCGCCUCCCGUCGCAGGGAGGCAUGCCUGUCUGAGCGUCAUUUAAAACCCUCAUACGGUCCGCACCCGUGGCCGUGCCCUGGGCCGUUCGUCGACCCCGUCGUCGUGGCCUUGAAUCCAUCGGUCUUGGUGAGCGGACGAGAUCCAAUAGGACAUGUGACCGUUUGCCCGACCCUAAAGAAAUCUGAAUUUGACCUCAGAUCAGGUAGGACUACCGCCUGAACUUAAGCAUAUCAAUAAGCGGAGGA
Molecule: unclassified non-coding RNA, 276 nt
Filed under: Archaeorhizomyces sp.
Lineage: Eukaryota; Fungi; Ascomycota; Archaeorhizomycetes; Archaeorhizomycetales; Archaeorhizomycetaceae
Description: partial contains 5.8S ribosomal RNA, internal transcribed spacer 2, and large subunit ribosomal RNA
Rfam family: 5.8S ribosomal RNA (bases 1-69)
Source: RNAcentral